GGCGCGGUGCCCGCCGGGGUGGCCGCGGUCGGUCGCGGCCGGCAGGGUCUGGCUGUGCGUGGGGAACUCGGAGCUGCUGUGGAAACGGCCCGAGCCGUAAGUGCGGUGAGACAGGGAGUGCCCAUCCCAGCUUGUUCGUGCCAUGGAGCACAGCGGGGCCCGGGCACUGAGGUAACGCAGGGGGCACGGGAAGCGCUGCUCGUCCCGGGCCGAACCGGGAGCGCGAACAACACCAGCUCCGGCCUCUGGAGCAGGAACUGGCCCUUCUGCUCUGAACAGCACUGCUCCGAGGCCUGGGCCCUGCCACAUUUGAAAACUCAGCAUGUCAGAUUUGUUCAUUUUGUACUCAAGUCUGUGAGGUAUUCGGUAUUAACUGAACACGUCAGCUGGAAGUGACACAAACUCCUUUUUGCUAUACUGGGAGAAAUAAAAGUGACGGGAGCAAAAAAGACCAGACUCGUGCCUGGAUGGAUGGUCCAGUGGAAGUCUGUGAUGGAUCUCCCUGCCCAGGAGAGUCCCCUGCAGCAAAGCAUGGGCUGUCCUCCAGAUCCCCACAAGUCCUUGUGAUCAAUAGCACUGUCCACAGUCUUUACCAGGAUUUUGGCACACAUCAGACAGAACAGCAGCAUUUACUGGAGCCCAGACAAUGUGGGGCAUUUGGAAGAGGGAGGAGAGAGGUUAGGAAAAAGGAAAAAGGAAAAGCAGAUCACAAGUUUGGACAACAUUUGAAUAUUUUGGAACUGCUUUGAAUGCUGCACUCUGAGCUGUUGAGGUAUGACAAAUUUGGGCUUUGUUUUAAACUGGCGUAGUCUGCUGUUACUGAGAAUGCUUUUAAUAUUUCAACUCAAAUAUGUCCUUUAGGGUGACAUAUUGCAAACAUGCUUUCUGUUUUGUUCUCAAUUUUGCUUUGUUGUUGGAGUUGCAAUGUAAAUAUGCACCAUAUUUUUCUCUGCAUAUACCUCAUUAUAUUAAAGUCUUCUCUAUGCAGUGUCUGCUUCCCAGCACCAGAGUGUACAGGAAUAUAUUGUCUUUAUUCUGAGUUUGGCAAUGAAAAUGUUCUUACUGGUUUAACUGUACAAGGGCAAAAAUUGUGACAGCAGACAACAGCAUCUGAAAGUCAUUAGCAAACAUCUGAAAUUACUUCCUGAGUGUGCCACAAUGAAGUGUGGAAUGAGCAAAUGAUCUGCAGGGGUGGCAGACGGGAAGAAUUCCCAUGUAUGAUAAAGUCAAAGAAAAAAAAAUGCACAUUUGUUAAUACAAAUCUUCACCCCAUCCUGGUUUCUUCCAUGCAAGACUCUUUUCUGCCUUUACUUAACAUGAGAAUUAAGAAACCCAGGAUUCCUUUAACAACUUACUUCUCCAUUUCACUCAGCUAUCAAUUUCAACAAGUUCAGUUCCAUGAUAUGUGCUUCCAGGAAAGUCUUGCUUUCUUAUUUUUCUUUAAUUUGCAUUUAAUUCACCCACUCAGCCACUAACCUGUGCCUAUUUGCCUAUUUGAAAACCAAAGAUGAAUUUAUGAUUACUACAUGGUGACUACCAGAAGCAAAAACCAUAAGAGUGAUCUGUAAGAAAGGAAACUGGUAUUAUAUUAUGGUUUUAUGCUGUGCUUUUUCUAAAUCAUGCUCUUUAGACUGCAACAUUCUUUAAUAGAUGUUAUGUUACCAUAGAAACAAGUACUUGUGGCUGACUGUGCAAGGGUCUGUACAGAACAGAAAUGGUCCUCGUUGUUAAUUUAAAAAAGUUCUAAGAGAGGUGCACAGAGGCUUGGGAGAAAAAAUACAGAUUUUUGACACACAAGGUAGUAUGUGAUGUCACUAUAUGAGCAACCCCAAAACUGGCCUAUUUAUUGUAGAUACCACAAUGCAGAAGUUUAAUGAAGCAUGCAGACUAAUACUGAAAAAAAUUGUGUUAUGCCUGUUAAAAUCUAUCAACAGUUGAGGAUUUCUACAAGUCUGCAAAACUUUGUAUCACUAUGACCAUAAAAAAAAUCAGCAUAUUAUUCUACCAUAUGUUCUAUAAUCUGUACAUUAGAUAUUACAUUGACUUUAGGUGUUGAAAUGAGGUGUGUUAUUUUUGUACUAGAGCACUUGUCAUUGCCUUCCUGAAUUUAAAUUUGAGUAUAAAAUAUCUGUUGUUAAAUUUUUAAACAUACUUAGAUCAUUAAAUUUCAAAACAAAGCAAGAUCUGAAUUAACUGCUAAAAAAACCAAAAAAAACCCAAGCAUUAAUUCAAUCUGUCAGUUCAGAAUUGUCAAAUGCAUCACUCUAAGCAGCAGUGGUUUCACCAUUUUCCUGUUUGUCUUGAAUACCUUCUUUGAAUAAUGUUCAACUAUAUUUUUUGUUUUAUUUUAUUUUCUAGGAGAGACAAACUCAUCUUUUAUCUUGAAUUUAUGGGUGCUAAUCAAACAAAUCUCAUUUCUCAGGCAUGGCAUAGUUAGAGAGGGGUUUUCAGCACCCCACUGUUAAAUUCAGCAAAUGACAAUGUGUUGCAUGUCUCAAGCUGAAAUACUAUUCAUAUAUUUGUUUCUGUAUUUCUUGGUCCAAUUCUACUGCUAUGUAGAGAAAAAACACACUUCCAUUUUUCUGAAGGUUGUAUUAGAAUAACCAAUUUAGCUUACUGUGAAAAUCAAUGCUAUUUUUAGUAUCUGAGUUCUUGAAGGUAAAUGAGAUUUGCACUGGAAACAAGAUCUGUUUUCCAACAAAUUUCUUGAGAUGCUCCCAUCUCUAGAGAAGCUGUUUUAAUUUUUGUGGUGAAGAUUAGGGAAGCUAAUCACACCCUGCUAGCAGGUAGGUAACUUUUAUUUACAAAAUCAUUGGUUACACAUGGAAUGUGGUGGCAUAUUAUGUUGUUGAGUUGGGUGGAGGUGUUUUUUUCCAAAUAUACACAUUUCAAGAAUUGAAAGCACACAUUUUUAUCUAGAUUCUGACUGUUACCAUAUUUGAGCAACUGUUCAGAUGUGCUAGUCAGGCUUUUGGAGGAAAACUGGCCAUGUUCUCCCACAGUUGUCAUGUAUCUGUCACACUAACACCAGCUAGGAAAAUCAAAUUGGAAACAUUCUGUUACGAGCUGUGAACAUCCUUUGCAGCAGUGUCAUUUGCGUCAGAAAGGCUGCUAUUGUUUUCAAAUGUCAAUAUUCAUUUUAAGUGGAAGAGAAAGGCAAAGCAGUCUUUUGUUGAAAGUUAGCCCAUUCAUGAGUGCAGUGAGGAAAACACAAACUGAGGCACAAAGAUCAGGCGGGAUUUAGAUCCUUCAAGUGCUUCCAUGUACCUUCCACCAAGACACUGUGGGUAGAUACAGCUCCUAUAAACUUCCUUACACUCUUUCAAAACUCUACCUAGCCAAAAGGCAUAAAUAGACAUCUACAAUGAAGUACAUACAUUUCUAUGGUCAUUAAUUUAAUUUUUAAAGUGGCAAGUACAGCUAAAAGUCUUCCCCAUGAUGGUCCUUUCAGAUACUCAUCCUCCCAAUCUAUGUGUUUAGAAAACAGACAAUUCUGUAAGCUAUUCAUUCUUUCAGCAUUAAGAGUUAUUCUCCUGAUAAGAGAAAGGACAUAUUCACUUAAAAAAAGCAAAUAAAUAACUUCACACAGAGGAACAAGAUAAAAAGUAUUCUCUCUAACCAGAGGAUAUACUGAAUCAUUUAAGAAUUCUGCAGCAAAAUUUGCUUAUUGGCAAACUGUUUAGGUAUAUUUCUAUGACAGUGAUUUGUCUGUAUUCUUUCCACUGACAUUCCAAGAUAUGGAUGUUAAAUUUCUAGCAUUUUUUAGUGUCUGGUUGUUUUUUAUCGUCACAAUAUAGACACACUUAAAAAUGUGAAAUAUUUGCUUGUACUAUUUUCAUUCCAUUUCUUAAAUUCAAACAACUUUUCAUUACAAGAUAUUCUAAUAAUAUGUUCUCACACCUAUUUUUUUAUUGCCUCUUGUAUUCUAAACAUUAUUCUACCCAUCCUGUUUGAAGUCCUACACUACAGUAAAACGCUCAGGUUCCCUAACGCAUGACUUUGAAUAACAGAGAAUUAUGUGUAUUAUUUAUAUGCAAUAUCUGGCUGUAUUUGACAAAUAGAAAUUGCUUUCAUGAUCUCAUUUGAAACUGGGAACUAUCAGAAGAUUGACCAAUGGUGGAACUUGAAAGUUAUGGAAGUAGGUCUGCACAUGGUGUGAGGGAAAAAUGAAGUUAGUUGGAUUUAAAGAACGGAAUCAUGUGAACAAAUUGAGAAUGAAAAACAUUGAGCAGACAUACAUGUGAAAGAACUGAAAAGAGUAUUGACACAAUUGAAUAUUUUAAUUAUAUGUUCUAGUUGUCUCAAUUAGUUAUGGAAAACUCUGCAAGAUUUGACUAUCACCUAAAUCUGCAGAUCACAAAGAGAUGAUCAUAAAAUAUUUACUGCAAAAGUGACAAAGUUUAAUUUUGUUCACAGUUAUUAAAAAGGAGGAAAGGAACAACAUGAUGAAAACACUAAGGGGUUUAGUCAUCUUACUCGUGAACUAAAAUUCAAACAACCAUAAGAUCAUGUCAGAACAGCUAAAGCCAUGGUUUACAUGGAGGAAAAUGGGUGUGAAGAUGAAAGAGUGAGAAGAUGGAUCUGUAUGUCAUCUGCACAGCAGCAAUUGUAAUAAGACAGAUUCCCUGGUUUAUGAAAAGGGCUUAGACAGCACAAAAACAAGGAGUCAGAGAGGAAAAUAUUUAAAGGAAUGACACCUGCCACUUUCAGAAGGAUAGUAAGGACAAUACCACCAGUUGUGGGAUUUUGCUUGGAUGAAGUAAUGACUUUGGCAAAGGUUUUUUCAAUUAUGGUUAAGUCAUAAAGCAUACCCAAGAAGAACUAGGAUGAAACACAUGUGCUGUUCUUGUCUUUUCUAAAAUUAACACUUUUGGGUAUCUUUCUACACAAAUAAAAAUCAUUCUCAUUGUCUGUCUCUCAGGUUCCCUAAUCCCACAGCAUUAUAUUGGAAGCUUGAGAAUCUAAGACCAAUUUUUAUUCACUCUCAUGAUUUUUGAGUUAAUUUAUGAUGAAGACCAAAGUCUGACUUUGAACUUGGCAUUAUUUCCAAUGGGAUCUGAGUAUAGAUGUGACAAAGUAUACCCAAAGACUUUUACUACAGAUUUUAAUUUCUAAUACCAUUCAUGUGCUCAUUUGCAGGUCUAGACCUAUAAUGCUUAGUUAGCUUGAACAGCUGUAUUUUUAUGACUGCAAUAGGUUUGAAUGAAAGUUUAAAAGCUUGUGUGUACUUACUGUAUGUCCAAUUAAUCUUCACUCUGCAAAAUCGAGGUUUACCCUUCUUUUUUUGCUACAUUGCAGUUCUUGUGCUUGCUUUGGACUGCAAUCCUGGCUCACACUUCAAGUUAACAAGGCUGUGGUACUGCCUAAUAAUCCCUAACAUGUUUAAACAGAUGUUUAUAGUUGCUGGUGUACCUAAGCUCUUGUUUUAAUUCCUGAGGUUGCUUGUUAAACUUGAAUAUUACACAAGGUUUCUGAUGAUAAAGUGUGAUUUUUGCUAUAUUUGAUGGAUGAUAUAUGAAUGCCAACACCUGAAGCAUCUCAAACUCUUCAAAAUAAAUGACAAGUACAGAGAUAUGGGGUUUAAAUCUCAUAGCAACACAGCAGAAUAAUUUUAUCUCAAAUUGGAAGAAAACAUUUAAAAGGAAUAUAAUCUGACCAAGAUUGUCACCAUGUAACAAGAUAUUUUGUGAUAAAUUUUGAAGAAGGCAUAUUUAAAAAUUCAGUUCUGGAUUUAUAAAAUCCAUAUGAAGUGGCUUAUUCCAACAGAAGAGUUUUGUAACUCCUCAUUUAAUUAAUCAGAUUGCUCUGCAGAUGGCGGUAAAAUUUAUUUUCUAUUUAAAGAGCGUCUCGCCUCAUCAAAAUCAAGGAAAUAUACUUUCCAACUUAACCAAAAACUUGGCAAAGUUCUGCACUGGCACCAAGAAAUCCCAUACAAAAAGCCUGUCUCCCAUCUUACUUGUUUUGCUGUGCCAGAAACAUUUUUAAAAGACCACAAAUUAGACCUUUCAUACUCUACUGUGAAAUAUUCACACUGACUUUAAACACACACAUACUCUCAAGAUCCCAGCAAUUGGCUCAGCCUGGCCUGCACCACAUGAAAUAGGUGUUUCCCUUUCCCACAAACUAGUCUAUGGAAAGCCAGAGCAUCUCCAGGCUGUUAGACUGGGGCAGAGAGGCACAGCUGGAUAGUUGCCUGCUCACACUUCGUGGUGUGAAUGGGAAAUGUCCUGAGAAGAAACCAAGGUCUUCCAGAGAAAAUCCACACAACUUUCCCAUACUGCUGUUGAGUCGUUUUUCCGUGAAGGAGAGAAAGAAAAGAGUUUUCCCAGGAGUCUGGAACAUCAGAGCUAUCCGUAUAGGUGUCAGACAAUCCAAGGAAAAGGAUGGGAAGAUAAAAGAGGAGAAAGACUACAGUUAGCUCCAAGAUGAGUACAGAGCCACUAGGACGAAGAACUCCAUUUCCAACAGCAAGUGGCAGUGGACAGCAAACCUGAAACAUUUCCAUGGAGCACUGGGGCAGGAAUAGGAUGCAGACAGGAGAAAUCUGCAUAAAUGGCAUUAUCAGAAAGAUAAAAAAAAUAAAAAGGAAAGCCAAAUCAGAAGACAGUCAUCUGCCACAUGGUGAAAAUAAAGGAAAAGGCCAAGGAGAAGGCUUACUGCCAAAUGUUCAUGGGAUCAUUUUACCAAAAGCAAGAUCUAAAAUAUAACAGAAAAGUAGAAGAUGAACAACUAUAUGCCUGGAUCAUUUAAGUUAAAAUGAAUAUUUACCUUGACAAAUAACAUAAAUAUCUACUGUGGUCACUGAGAAAUAGAAUCUUUGAUGUAAUCACAAUUGACUCUCAGUUUGCUUGGGUUUUAUUUAACUGGGAUUCUUCAUGUAAAUGUUCCCUGUGUUUGAAAUUUCUAUUUGCAACCUUGUAUGAACUCCCCUGGUACAUUUAAAGAACUUAUUUUUAUACUUGAAGAUACCUUGUGUGUACUACAGUUGACAGAGCAUUUGUGAGUUGGGCCAUAAAUAGAGCUUAGUGGAUGUUUAUGCCAUUUAAAUUUUAAAUUUUCAGGAAUCUGAAAAAAACCUCACUUUUUUCAUACGGAAAAAUAAUUAUUAUUGUGUUAUAAAGUGCAGGUAGUUAAGUACUAAAGCAGAUCAAAAGGUUAUGAAAUCAACUGUUUUAAAAAGGUAGUGAUAACUACAGGCAACUAGGAGAGAAUAUUGGAAUGAAAAGGUGAUAAUCCAGUUUUUAAAGCCUGGAACAAAAACUGAGAAUUGCUAUUAAUGAAUAAAACAGAAUUGAGAGAAAGGGGGGAGGGAUAGCCAUAAAAAUCACAUAAGAUUAGUUUGUCAUUUCCUCUAGUGACUGAUGGGGACUCAGACAAAAAAUGUUAGGUUUGAUCUGUUUUGCUAUACUUUUUCUUCUGAAAAACAAAAACAGAAAUCCUGCUGACAGAUUCAGGGCACACUUUGCAGCACUUAAAAGUGGUGAUUGCUCUACUAAUAUUCCUUCCCAUUUUGUUCUAUUCAGCCAUGACUUCUAUGACCUCUGUCUACACCUUCCAAAAAAGGAUUCCAGGACACCUAACACAGAAAAACAGUCCUGACCAGACCCUUUAUUAAACAGUCAUUAAAUAGUAGAACCACUAAAACUGACUCAAGAUUAGUUUUCUUGUUUUUCAUACGUUGUUAUGCUCUAUCAGUUUGCUCCUUCUUACUUUUUCCUAAAUUAACCAUUCCUAUCUGUCACUUUUUUGUUAUAUGCUUCAUUCACUUCUAAAAUCUGGCAUGGUACCUCAAUCAUUCACUUUGAUAUCAGUAGUCCACAGUGGAAAGCUGCCAGCAGUACUCUUAUUAUUUCACCUCUUAUAUCCUAAAUAAAAUAUUUUGGGCUUCUUCAUUAAUUUGAAAGAUCUGAUACAAGGGAAGUCUACCAGCAUCUUCAUGAUACUUUUCUUUCUCUAACCAGAGGCCUGAAAGUCCCUUCUCCCCCAUGGCCCAAAAUAGAAAUCUUGUCUUCAUUUCUAUGAAGCUAUUUUGAAAAAAAAACCAAACUUUAUUUUUUCUACCCUUUAUUUCCCAGAUGCUGACUGCUUCAAAGCUCUCAGUUUUACUUUAAUGACAAAUUUGUCUCAGUUCACAUUUUCCCCAAAAGACAGAACUCAGAUAUGCCCAUAUUUGGUAUUACCAAAUUGAAUGAAUCAUAGAUGAAAAUGAAGUUACUAUUUUAUCCUUAUUAUGUUUAGGCUUUCCCAGUUGUUAGUAGUUAUGGAGAAGAUUAUGCUGAUCCUAGAGCUCAUAAUAUGCCAUGAGUUUUAAUGCUUGUAAUUUUCAAGCUCUAUGCAGCAAAAGGAAGAGCUACAUGUUGUAGCACAUCUGCACGUUAGGAGUUCUGUAAGCUGAGUCAGGUUUCUGCAGAGAUCAUCUCUCCAGAAGCUUGAAUGGAACAGGAAUGAAGGGUAACAGAACGUUGCUGUCCAUGGCAUGACAAACAGCAUUCGUCAACAGCAACAUUUCAGCCACAAUGCCCUAACGAAGUAUAAUUUGUUUACAGCAGCAACUCAAAAACACUCAGCAUGGUUAUACUUUAUAAAACCCAUUCAUUUCCAAAUAAUGCAACAGGGUAUACAGUAUUUAAUAUUUCAUUUCAGUUAAUUAUAUUAAUAUUUUCCUGCAGCAUACAAUUAUGAACUUCAGUGACCUCAGUGCAUAUACGUUAUAAUUCCAUAUAUUCUGUAACAACAGGCCUCAUACACUAACAUACAUCUUGUGUCAAAGCUAGUAUGAUUCGUUUAGUUUGUAUUGUAGAAAUACUCUUCCUACCUAUACUACAACAUCUUACAACAUAAUGAAGAAUUUAGGGCUUUCCCCCCCCCCACCCAAAGUGAGCAAAAAUAUGGAGAUAAAACUUGACAGGCUGCAAUGGUUGCUUUUCAAGUUUGAGUUUGUCUUGCACAAGAGGUUGCUCUCAAAGGUGCUGUGCAGUAUAAAACCAGCUCCUUACAUGUAUCUGCAUGUUUGAAAAAACUUUACUAAGACAUUGUGGCUUAGUGUACAAUAUAAAGGGGGUACAUUUUCAAUGUUAAGUGUAUUUUUUCUAGAAAUUUCAGUGAAUAGUUUGAUGUGUUUUUUUUAAUUCAAAAUAAUGUCUUCCCCACAAAAGAGAUAAAUGUGUCAGAUUCAUAGUAGGAGGGUUUUCCUCCAAGAAGUUUUCCUUCUGCUCAACUAUCUUUUUUAAGUCUUUCUUCUGCCUGGAGCUGGAUGUGGCUGGGAGAAGGAAAAAAAAAUCGAAUAAGAACAAAAAAAAAAUUGCUUGUUGGGCUUUAGUGUCAUACCACAAAAAACUAAAUGAGUAAAAAUAUAUUUUAAAAUUCCAGUUCAUCAUAUACAAACAUGUUCAGAAUUUGAUCCAUUGUCUUACCAUCUAUUUCCUUCUGGCACUUCCAUAAUUCAAAGCCUGACUAAAAGUUUCAGGUUAAGUUUAUGUGACAGGCAUGAUCUUUGUAAUGUUACAACAUGAUCCAAAAAUAUAAAGGAAAAUCUAAAGUUUUGGAGUUCUCCCCAUCAUGUCUGUUUGGACUGUUUGUGUUCUGCUGUCCCAGUCGUUAUCUUUUGCUUACUGAGAUCUCUCUCUCUCCUCUGAUUCCUUAGACAUUUCAUAGCUGCUGGUUAGAUGCUAUUACCAUGUGACAUGUUCAACCUUUAAAACAAACAAUUUAUUGUGAAAGUUCAAAACUGUUAGAAUGAUGAAUUUGAAUGCUUAUCACUGAGUUCUUCAGGCCUAAAAAUGCUGUCAAAUUCCAAAACAAACAAGUAUAAUAAAACCCUUCUUUUCAAGGUC
Parus major (Great Tit) is the source of this 9833-nucleotide long non-coding RNA. RefSeq lists it as uncharacterized. Lineage: Eukaryota; Metazoa; Chordata; Aves; Passeriformes; Paridae. The record is from RefSeq and is a predicted model, not a curated record. The transcript has 4 exons.